GACGAACGCUGGCGGCGUGCUUAACACAUGCAAGUCGAACGGACAGGCCCUGCUUUUGUGGGGUGCUCGAGUGGCGAACGGGUGAGUAACACGUGAGUAACCUGCCCUUGACUUUGGGAUAACUUCAGGAAACUGGGGCUCAUACCGGAUAGGAGCUCCUGCUGCAUGGUGGGGGUUGGUAAGUUUCGGCGGUUGGGGAUGGACUCGCGGCUUAUCAGCUUGUUGGUGGGGUAGUGGCUUACCAAGGCUUUGACGGGUAGCCGGCCUGAGAGGGUGACCGGCCACAUUGGGACUGAGAUACGGCCCAGACUCCUACGGGAGGCAGCAGUGGGGAAUAUUGCACAAUGGGCGGAAGCCUGAUGCAGCAACGCCGCGUGCGGGAUGACGGCCUUCGGGUUGUAAACCGCUUUCGCCUGUGACGAAGCGUGAGUGACGGUAAUGGGUAAAGAAGCACCGGCUAACUACGUG
RNAcentral lists this ribosomal RNA (468 nucleotides) under uncultured bacterium. Its description in RNAcentral is "partial 16S ribosomal RNA". It matches the Rfam family "Bacterial small subunit ribosomal RNA", at positions 28 to 507 of the family's 1533-position model. The record is from RNAcentral.